Molecule: ribosomal RNA, 545 nt
Filed under: Meyerozyma guilliermondii
Lineage: Eukaryota; Fungi; Ascomycota; Pichiomycetes; Serinales; Debaryomycetaceae
Description: partial large subunit ribosomal RNA
Rfam family: Eukaryotic large subunit ribosomal RNA
Source: RNAcentral
GCGGAGGAAAAGAAACCAACAGGGAUUGCCUUAGUAGCGGCGAGUGAAGCGGCAAAAGCUCAAAUUUGAAAUCUGGCGCCUUCGGUGUCCGAGUUGUAAUUUGAAGAUUGUAACCUUGGGGUUGGCUCUUGUCUAUGUUUCUUGGAACAGGACGUCACAGAGGGUGAGAAUCCCGUGCGAUGAGAUGCCCAAUUCUAUGUAAGGUGCUUUCGAAGAGUCGAGUUGUUUGGGAAUGCAGCUCUAAGUGGGUGGUAAAUUCCAUCUAAAGCUAAAUAUUGGCGAGAGACCGAUAGCGAACAAGUACAGUGAUGGAAAGAUGAAAAGAACUUUGAAAAGAGAGUGAAAAAGUACGUGAAAUUGUUGAAAGGGAAGGGUUUGAGAUCAGACUCGAUAUUUUGUGAGCCUUGCCUUCGUGGCGGGGUGACCCGCAGCUUAUCGGGCCAGCAUCGGUUUGGGCGGUAGGAUAAUGGCGUAGGAAUGUGACUUUACUUCGGUGAAGUGUUAUAGCCUGCGUUGAUGCUGCCUGCCUAGACCGAGGACUGCGA